CCUACUGCAGUCGACGGGCAGGCUUCGGCCUGUCAGUGGCGAACGGGUGCGUAACACGUGAGCAACCUGCCUGUCGGUGGGGGAUAACCCGGGGAAACCCGGGCUAAUACCGCAUACGUUCUUUGGGUGGAGUCACCUGGAGAGGAAAGCCCCUGCAAGGGGGCGCCGGUAGAGGGGCUCGCGGCGUAUCAGCUAGCUGGUGAGGUAACGGCUCACCAGGGCGACGACGCGUAGCCGAUCUGAGAGGAUGAUCGGCCACAUUGGGACUGAGAUACGGCCCAGACUCCUACGGGAGGCAGCAGUGGGGAAUCUUGCGCAAUGGGCGAAAGCCUGACGCAGCGACGCCGCGUGCGGGAGGAAGCUCUUCGGGGUGUAAACCGCUGUCAGAGGGGAAGAACGGGCGUGGGAGGCAAUGCCCACGUUUUGACGGUACCCUCAGAGGAAGCACCGGCUAACUCUGUGCCAGCAGCCGCGGUAAUACAGAGGGUGCGAGCGUUGUUCGGAAUUACUGGGCGUAAAGCGCGCGCAGGCGGCCUUUUAAGUCUGACGGUGAAAUGCCGGGGCUCAACCCCGUGCCCGCCGCGGAUACUGGGAGGCUGGAGACGAGUAGAGGCAAGCGGAAUUCCGGGUGUAGCGGUGGAAUGCGUAGAGAUCCGGAAGAACACCGGAGGCGAAGGCGGCUUGCUGGGCUCGGUCUGACGCUGAGGCGCGAAAGCGUGGGGAGCGAACAGGAUUAGAUACCCUGGUAGUCCACGCCGUAAACGAUGGGCACUAGACGCUGGUGGGAUCGACCCCUUCAGUGUCGCAGCUAACGCGAUAAGUGCCCCGCCUGGGGAGUACGGCCGCAAGGC
RNAcentral lists this ribosomal RNA (851 nucleotides) under uncultured bacterium. RNAcentral describes it as "bacterial SSU rRNA". It matches the Rfam family "Bacterial small subunit ribosomal RNA", at positions 50 to 894 of the family's 1533-position model. The record is from RNAcentral.